This 324-nucleotide ribosomal RNA is filed under the name uncultured eukaryote. Its description in RNAcentral is "partial 18S ribosomal RNA". It matches the Rfam family "Eukaryotic small subunit ribosomal RNA", at positions 1470 to 1796 of the family's 1831-position model. The record is from RNAcentral.
CCCUUAGAUGCUCUGGGCCGCACGCGCGCUACACUGGUCGAUGCAACGAGUUUCUUUCCUUGGCCGACAGGCCUGGGCAAUCUUUGAACAUCGAUCGUGAUCGGGAUAGAUUCUUGUAAUUUUUGAUCUUAAACGAGGAAUUCCUAGUAAACGCAAGUCAUCAGCUUGCAUUGAUUACGUCCCUGCCCUUUGUACACACCGCCCGUCACACCUACCGAUUGAAUGGUCCGGUGAAAUCUCCGGACUGGCGUGAGUCGGAGCAAUCUGACAAACACCGGAAAGUUGAUUAAACCUUNCNAUUUAGNGGAAGGUGAANUCGUANCA